Tympanuchus pallidicinctus (lesser prairie-chicken) is the source of this 683-nucleotide long non-coding RNA. RefSeq lists it as uncharacterized. Lineage: Eukaryota; Metazoa; Chordata; Aves; Galliformes; Phasianidae. The transcript has 2 exons. The record is from RefSeq and is a predicted model, not a curated record.
UCACCAGUAGGGGAGGGUCUGUUUUUGGAGAUCUCUCCUUUGGAGUUUUACAGCAAGCACAGGAUACGGGAAGAAGAGCUGCAUUAUGAUUGUUACCCUUGUCAUUCCAGGAACCUCUUCAGGGCACCGAUGGAUGAGUUGGACAUUGGCGUUAAACUGAGAUUAAAGCUCUGAGGAGUUAGAAAGUGUUGGAUAAAAAUGAACAAGGAACACAAAGGACAAAUCUCUGCCACUUUAUGCUUUCUACGUGUGACACAGACUGUCACUAGGAGGCUGUUGUGCCACAGACAACAUGACUGCUCUCAUUUUCCCAUCACUUAAUCUCACAGCUUACAUCUCCUCGGGCCUUGGAACUGUGCCUGUGCCUUUGCUAGUCUCAGUGAGACCUGGAAACAUGCCUUAUUCAGACAAGACAGAAAACGCCUAAUGCUAGAAGUAUCUGGUAGCGUCUCUGAGUUUAGGCAGCUGCUGUUCUCUGCAGGGGGGACUGCAGAGGGGACUCGGCUCUUGCUGCCAGGGUCUCAUAUCAAUGUGGAAAGUCAGUUUUCCAGGGUAGGUCCCCGUGCCAUGUAUGGUUUCCACAGUGUUACUGGACAGUCGUGAGUGCAGCAAACUGCUUGUUUGCCAUCAUUGCUUCCCUGUUCGUGCUGUGCAGAGCAGUAAAGCACGUGGGUACAUCUUAG